AGAUACCUGUCCUGCAUUAAAGUGCUCAUUUCAACAGCUGCCAUAAGAUGUCAUACUGAUGGCCUCUGGAUUAGACAAUUUUAAGGGGGCGUUAUACAAAUUCCUGGAAGGGGCAUGUGUCUUGUCAAUGGCUAUUAGCUUUGGAGGAGCAAUUUUCAUUUGCAGCGCAGAAAAAGAAGAAGGAAGAAUUAAACUCUCCCUCUCCACCUGCUGCGUUCCUAAUAAUUAUCAAAUCCAGUGACUGCUAUUUGCAUUUUUUGAAAUGAGCACAUUAAAUGCAAGGGCAUGUUUAAUGCCAUAUCUAUAUUGGCCCUUAAUCUAUGCUAAUAUUUAAUUUGUGAGGCUCAAGGAUCCUGUUGUGGAAAUGAAUCAUGCAUACUCACUGAGUAGUGUGGGGGGGAGAGAAUCGCAAAGAGCUUUUACCUGAUAAACACAUUUGCUUUGUUUAGCCUUUUAUCAAGAGGAAGAAAACUGCAAAGCAAGUUUCCUUUUUUUAAAAAAAGCAGGGAACAGCUUGUUUCCAUGACAUUUAUACAAUAAGCCAUAUCUAAAUGACAAGCAGAUUGGUGGAAAAACAAUGUUUUACUGCCCUUUUCUCCUUUGAUCCUUGAUGUCUUAAGUAAAUGAAAAGGCACAGGUUUGUAGGCAAAGAUCAACCGUUACGAAUUGACAAGCUGCACAGAAUCCUGAAAGUAUGAGAAUCGGAGAUCUGUAUCGGUGUCCAGAGUAACAUUAGAUCUGGACCGUCAAAGGUAAGGGAUGGCUGGGGAAAGUAGUCAGUUGGUAGGGGCAAGAGUUUUCUCGUUUCUGACUCUGUUGCACUUGCCUCACACAGGGGUCCUGCAUAGAGUCUUGGCCUGCAGUCAGAGAAAGUGGAACACCCUCCCAGCACGUGGAAUAGACAAGACGAUCCACAGUGGGAAAGUCAGAGAGGAAGGGGACACUGCCGAUACCUGACCUAACCCGGACUUCCUUUCGAGAACUCUUCCUCAGAAAUCAGUGAUUAAACAUCCCCCUGGAACAUCAGCUCCCCAAAGGUGCUGCAAGAACAACAUAGCCAUACAGGAAAUGAUGUUCCUCACCAGUGCCAGGAAGACCGCAAGUGAUGCAGCAGAAGCAGUGGCUAGCAAGAAGUCAGAUGUUCAGAUGUGGGGCUGCUGCUGUUUUCUUCCCAGGGGUCAUGUGCCCUUCAAGAAAUGCAUGGCAAACAGUUACAUUCAUGCACAUCACAGGGAAAGAUGGCCCCCUCCUAUCCUGUUACAAAGCUUCAAAAGGCACAGUGGCUCUACAAGAAGAAAAAAGAUUGACAUCCGGGACUCGCUCCACAACUGAUCGUUCAAUAAUAAUAAAAAACAACCCCAGUGUUUA
Long non-coding RNA from Podarcis raffonei (Aeolian wall lizard), 1368 nucleotides. RefSeq lists it as uncharacterized. NCBI's taxonomy places the organism in Eukaryota, Metazoa, Chordata, Lepidosauria, Squamata, Lacertidae. The record is from RefSeq and is a predicted model, not a curated record. The transcript has 2 exons.